This 307-nucleotide signal recognition particle RNA is filed under the name Prunus dulcis (almond). Its description in RNAcentral is "sRNA ncRNA". It matches the Rfam family "Plant signal recognition particle RNA". The record is from RNAcentral. Lineage: Eukaryota; Viridiplantae; Streptophyta; Magnoliopsida; Rosales; Rosaceae.
GCCGAGCUCAGCAACGUGAGCUUGUAACCCGAGUGGGGGCUUUGAGGUGCUGGAACAUUGUCCCAGUAUUAGCUGGUCGGGUUCGGGUUGGCUAUCUUCUGGCUCGCCCAUUCCAAGCCAGGAGUUGAACCCUGUGGCAUGAGCGAAGGCCCUGGGUCACUGGGUUUCUAGAGUGGAGGGCACUGCGUAAGGCUGGCUUCACAGAGCAACGACUACCUCUCGCUCUUGGCAGUGGAAGGAUAACGGGUCGGUGCCAAUCGGAUCCGCCAUGGCCUGCUAGGCUGUCCCAAUUGAACCAAAACCUUUU